GAUCCCAGGUACGACGGGACGCUAAAUAGUUAGCCGAUGGGAAUGAGGUCAAGUUGACAAUGUCCACUUGGCCCGGCAUCGUCAGGCCCUUGUUAUCGUCUGCCAGACUAGCUUCUCCGCGGUGGGCAUCCAUGAGGAGACGUUUCAUCUCGUUACCAUGGUGAGCGGACUUGAUGCGGAUUUGAUACGCUGAUGGACGAUGGAUAUUAGGGACGUGGCUGUGAGAAAGGAACGGGGGCUGAGCCAAGAUGAAAGUUACCCGGAAGAGAUUGCUGACGCCGGAUGCAAACCGGAUACCAAAACGGAUGUCACAAAAAUUUAACGUUUAAUCGCAGUUUUCGAACGGUAGAGGGCGACAGCUAAUAAAGAGCACAGCUGCAUCAGAAGCCAACAGUACAACCAGUGUUCUGUAAGUGAUCCGCGUACCUUGGGACAAGUUGAGGAUGUGCCCCAGGGCUGCCACGUGGACCCGUUAUGGGCACGCGACGGGAGUGCGAUCUGUUUAUCAAGGAAUUAACCGGAUUUUGAGAUUUAAAAGGAGAUGUUCGAUUGAUCUCUUUGAUAUUGGUCAUCUUGUUAAACAUUGACCAGGGAUGCAUUUCCACGGUUGACCCAACAUUAUAUAUGGUAGAUAUGCCCGAUCAAAUUACUUUGAGGUCAAAUCUUAGAAGUGAUUAACCCAUUCAAAGUAAGGGGAAAGGUGAUUACGAAAACGAAAUAAAAGGGAUGAUGAAAAUGAAGUCGAAAA
Long non-coding RNA from Strongylocentrotus purpuratus (purple sea urchin), 748 nucleotides. RefSeq lists it as uncharacterized. Lineage: Eukaryota; Metazoa; Echinodermata; Echinoidea; Camarodonta; Strongylocentrotidae. The record is from RefSeq and is a predicted model, not a curated record. The transcript has 3 exons.